This 163-nucleotide non-coding RNA is filed under the name Thermoactinomyces vulgaris. RNAcentral's name for it is "SAM-I sequence". It matches the Rfam family "SAM riboswitch aptamer (S box leader)". From Rfam's summary of the family: The SAM riboswitch is found upstream of a number of genes which code for proteins involved in methionine or cysteine biosynthesis in Gram-positive bacteria. The SAM riboswitch acts at the level of transcription termination control. The record is from RNAcentral. Lineage: Bacteria; Bacillati; Bacillota; Bacilli; Caryophanales; Thermoactinomycetaceae.
CUCUUAUCCAGAGCAGGUGGAGGGAAAUGGCCCGAUGAAGCCCAGCAACCGACCGUAAUACCAUCGUGAGAUGGGGCGCCCGUCAACAGGAGGGAGCCGUGGUACAAACCACGCAAGGCACGGUGCUAAUUCCAGCAAAACAUCCCGUUUUGCGAGAUAAGAG